GGCCUGUUAGCUCAGUUGGUUAGGGAGUGUUGCUGAUAACGCCAAGGUCGCGGGUUCGAUCCCCGCUCAGUCCC
This 74-nucleotide transfer RNA is filed under the name Apaloderma vittatum (bar-tailed trogon). It matches the Rfam family "tRNA". From Rfam's summary of the family: Transfer RNA (tRNA) molecules are approximately 80 nucleotides in length. Lineage: Eukaryota; Metazoa; Chordata; Aves; Trogoniformes; Trogonidae. The record is from Rfam by way of RNAcentral.